GAUUAACGCUGGCGGCGUGCAUAACACAUGCAAGUCGAACGAUGAAACUUAAAUGAUUUCUUCGGAAUGAACUUAAGUGGAUUAGUGGCGGACGGGUGAGUAACGCGUGAGUAACCUGCCUUACACAAGGGGAUAGCCGUUGGAAACGACGAAUAAUACCCUAUGAAACUAUUACUUCGCAUGAAGCGAUAGUCAAAGUGUUAGCGGUGUAAGAUGGACUUGCGUCUGAUUAGCUAGUUGGUGAGAAAAAAGCCCACCAAGGCAACGAUCAGUAGCCGGCUUGAGAGAGUGUACGGCCACAUUGGGACUGAGACACGGCCCAGACUCCUACGGGAGGCAGCAGUGGGGAAUUUUGCACAAUGGGGGAAACCCUGAUGCAGCGACGCCGCGUGAUUUAGAAGGCCUUCGGGUUGUAAAAAUCUUUUGUAUAGGAAGAAAAUGACAGUACUAUACGAAUAAGGUCCGGCUAAUUACGUG
This 477-nucleotide ribosomal RNA is filed under the name uncultured bacterium. RNAcentral describes it as "partial 16S ribosomal RNA". It matches the Rfam family "Bacterial small subunit ribosomal RNA", at positions 28 to 507 of the family's 1533-position model. The record is from RNAcentral.